GCUAGAUCCGCGAGGCUGAUUGGUUUGAGUUUCCUAACCAAACACCCGGUCACCUCCGGGUUAACUCCACACUAUCUAAUUGGCCUCCUCCGCGCUAACUCUCCAUGGCCGCCCUGCUCCGCUAGACCGCUAGCUCUUCAGGUCAACUCGCCGGGUCGCUGCCUCGGCGCAGCCGACGGCGUUCUGCCGCGCUCGCCGUGUGGCGCUCUGCCUAUCGCGCUCGGCAAACCAUCACCGGAUGGUUGUACUGCGGGAGGAGAUCAAGCUGACACUGGAAGUUUCAGAGGUCUUGCAGCCGAAAGCUAGGGCAUGAAGCAGCCGUGCUCAUUCAUUUCCUUUCUGUUCAGUGUUUAUCUAAGCUUGAUGGUUCUUGGUUCCUAAUAAUGUUUCGAGGACCGUAUUGGGUUUCCUUCGGUUCAUAUUUUGUUAGGGCUACGAGCUAAUCAUAUUUCUCUCUUCAUUUCUGCUUAAUCCUACAAGUCUUUGCUUUCAAUAUAAGUUGGCAAUUUUCUUCCA
This is a long non-coding RNA of Phragmites australis (common reed), 516 nucleotides long. RefSeq lists it as uncharacterized. The transcript has 2 exons. The record is from RefSeq and is a predicted model, not a curated record. Lineage: Eukaryota; Viridiplantae; Streptophyta; Magnoliopsida; Poales; Poaceae.